Long non-coding RNA from Peromyscus leucopus (white-footed mouse), 1669 nucleotides. RefSeq lists it as uncharacterized. The record is from RefSeq and is a predicted model, not a curated record. The transcript is spliced from 3 exons. NCBI's taxonomy places the organism in Eukaryota, Metazoa, Chordata, Mammalia, Rodentia, Cricetidae.
UGUGUGUGUGUGUGUGUGUGUGUGUGUGUGCCCUACUUGCCAUGGAAUAUCUGUGUAGGAUGGAGGGCAUUUUUCAGGGUUUCCUUGUGGGUCUAGUGGAGACAACUCGUGUCUUCAGGCUUGGUAGCAAAUAACUUUACACACGGAGCAAGUCUCCUGGAUUGCAGCUGCAAUUUUGUUACUUUAAAAUGGAUAGUUUCUUUGUAUUUACUUCUUUUAAAGAGAGGCCUGGGGAGGUGGGAUACUUAACCAGCCCCAGGAAGGAGCCGUGGAAGAGCCUGGGGGCAGGACUGUAGCUCACUAGAACAGGGACUUAGUUCCACCCGAUAUCUAUCCUACCUCAUAUUUUUUCCCCCUCACAUUAGGUCAGGGUCCUUCCCUGCUGGGACGCAUAGCUCCAGAGUUGCUGAACUCUGAAGAUGUAGACUCCAGAGCCUAGCCACAGAAUCAAACCCAACAUUCUGUAGCUUUAACUGUAAAUAAAGUGAUGUGGCCGAAUGUUAGGUCACAUUUACAAAGCAAGUCCAGAGAGGGGAUUGGGAAUUUUCUCGAUGUUAAAAAAAACAAAACAAAACAAAAAAACAAAAAACCCCAGCAGUUUAGGAAAAGGAACAAAGAAAUUAAAUGUUUCUAGGCUUGCCUAAUUUUUCCCUUUUAGCUUUAUAAACAAACCCCUUUCACCAUUUCCUGUAAUUGAAAAAGUAAACAAACGAGGUUUUGUUUUUUCUUUAAAUGGGUGUCUUGCUGCUUCUCCCACAACCCAAUUCAUAUGUAAAAGUCUUUCAAAUUCAAAAGCUCCAGGGGAGGUGAGGACGCCGAAGGACUUAGAUGCGGGAGCUGGCACGUCUGGCCGACUUUCGCUUUCAGCGAGCCGAGCCGAACCGAGCCGAGCCGAGCCGAGCCGAGUCGAGCUGUCUACACAGGGAGGCGGCGGCGCCGCAUAAAAUGGCGACCCGAGCGUCACCAAGAGCCGGUUAACAGGCACCGAAUUAACAAGCUUGCGUUUUGAACGAAACUAGGACACUGAAACUAUAAAUGGACCUGUAUGGAUUCCAAGGAGAAAUAUCAGAUUCUCAUCUAGAAGAGCUGCAGUCAUGCUUGCAGAAAAAGAGACUAACAAACCAAGUGGAGGAACACCAGUCCUGUCAUGCCUGAUGUCAGUGACUGGCAGGACAGCCGACCAGAGAGAGAGAAUUUGCCUAGACUGACCAAGGGUAAAUUCAAGACGACAACAACAACGUCAACACAAACAAACAAAAAACUAGUGUCCUGCUGUCUGUCUACAAAACUGGCAGAUGUUGGAGGAAGAAGAAACUACUCAAAGAGUGAUGUGGGGUUUUCAAGCGCGCUGGGAUUAAAAUUAUGCAGUCUCGCAGCGCCACCUAGUGCUCUAUAAAGGCAAAACACCUUCCGAGGCUAUCGCGCACGUUUCUAAGUCAUCUUCGGUUGGCAAGAGGUUCUCUAGGGUUAGGCAAGUCGUUUAUUAAGCUGUUGUUUAGCUGGAGAGAUGUCUCAGUGGAUAAGAGCAUCUGGCUGCUCUUCCAGAGGUCCUAAAUUCAAUUUCGAGCAACUACAGGGCGGCUCACAAUCAUCUGUAGUGAGAUCUGGUGCCCUCUUCUGGGCACUUGCAGGCAUAACACUGCAAACAUAAUAAAUAAGCUGUUGUUUA